UACGAAGGGGGCUAGCGUUGCUCGGAAUUACUGGGCGUAAAGCGCGUGUAGGCUGCUCCGCAAGUCGGGUGUGAAAGCCCUGGGCUCAACCCAGGAAGUGCACUCGAAACUGCGAAGCUUGAGUCCUGGAGAGGAAGGCGGAAUUCUCGGUGUAGAGGUGAAAUUCGUAGAUAUCGAGAGGAACACCGGUGGCGAAGGCGGCCUUCUGGACAGUGACUGACGCUGAGACGCGAAAGCGUGGGGAGCAAACAGG
This 253-nucleotide ribosomal RNA is filed under the name uncultured bacterium. RNAcentral's name for it is "partial 16S ribosomal RNA". It matches the Rfam family "Bacterial small subunit ribosomal RNA", at positions 524 to 776 of the family's 1533-position model. The record is from RNAcentral.